GGUAAGGACAUCCCUGUUACACCUUGCUCAACUUUGCCUUCCUCAGCCUGUGUUUUUUUUUUCCCAAAUCCUUUUCACUUUCCAGACUUUCGUCAUUACUGAAAUACAAUUUUAGUAAUUUCAGUUUCACCCCCUCCUCUCCCCAGCAUUCCGGUGGUGCUUACACUGGGAUAUCGGGUUUCCGGAGCUCUCUGCUGAUGACGGCUAUUGUCGCUUUCAACGUUCCGUCCCAUCCCCAUUCACAAGCAAUGCAGCCUUUGCAGUUACAGCGGGAGGCUCUGGCCCCCAGCUUUUCUCUCACUCCGAGUUGUUCUUACAAGCCGCGGUGAGAGGGGUGGUAUGGGGGAUGUGUUCUCGUUCCCACCCAAACUCUAAUAUCCCAAACUCACUGUUUUCCUUAACCUUUUUGCCGUUGUUGUUUUUUUUUUUUCCCCCCCACAAUUCCACCAUUUGUACCCUCAAUUACAUUUCCAUGUACCAUUAACAAAUGCACUUCCAUACAGCAUCAAGACAGUUUCUCCCACUGCCUUCAAAAUCCACAAAUAAAACAACACAGUUCUUCAACUUCCACAAACAUCCAGCACUUGGUCUCAUCAUUAGGGUACUCAAUUAUAAAACUGGUCCAUUACUCCAUUUAUGUUCCUGGUUUCUUAUUCAGUAUUCCCCCUGGCUGACCAGCAAUGUUUCUCCAGUGAGCCAAAAUACAAACUAGGGUAUCUAUUUGGUAUCACUUUAGACACUCUCUGUUCCAUAACAGCCUCGUACACGACAUAACGCUUUCACAACAUAAACAUUUAACAAUCACAAAGACAGUGACAAUAAUCAGUACAAUUUAUCUUCAGGAUCCUUCCUCUCUCUGCCUCCCUCCAGGGCCCAACCUUCCCUCUGUAUUAAUUUCCCACACUUGCACAGCUGACCACCUCCUUCUCCAAUAAGCAACAUAUCAGUGAUAAACAUUAUUUCCAUCCAUAAGUAGAAAUUAGGCCCUAGAAAUUGAUCUAAUUUUUCUGCUACACUUACAGAAUCCUCAAUUAAGGAACUCUUUUUGAAACUGCUAACUUUUUUUCUAGUAAAAACAGCAGGCAUUAACAUACCCUAUUUCCCUUUGACCUAAGGAGACUGCCCUAAGAGGAUAAAGUGAAGUAUUGUAAGGUUAAUGUUAGAGAAAGGAAAACCUCUCCAGGUCCCAUUCACACUGCUCCAACUCCCUCAGCAGUCGAGAGCGCAUCCUUUCUCCAGGACCUGCACAGGAUCAGCAGCACGGGCAGCACAGAAUGAAUUGUUUCUGUGGUAAGCAAAGAGGAAAUCUCAUUUCGUAUAAAUAUUGCAAAAAACUGUUAAAACCUCCAUGAACAUCUUUCAUAUAUAAACUUUAACAUGGAGUAUGAGGUAUAGAGUUUCUUUUCAUAUACAAGGUUUAUAGCAGAGGUUCAAGUACAUAUUAAUAUAGAAGUUAUAAUGUACUCUGAAUUAAACUGUCAGAAUCUAGGGCUUCUCAUAUCACUUUUGAAGAGUGUCACAGAAAAAGAAGCAUCUGUACUGGAUUACCAUGAAGGUUUCUACUACGUUGCAAUAAAUACGGCAAUCUGUUUUAUUUUUAUAUAUUUUUUAUGAAGAAGCAAAAGUGCAUCUUCUACAGUUGCCUUUCAAAAAUCACUUAUCUAUAUGGAACACCUAUAAAUAAUUGAAGCUAAACAUUAUUUAUGGAUACAUUACUGUAACGAUCAGAAAGGUCAUCACAGUGAAUGGAAAAUACAGGAGUGCAGUAACAAAGGGACUAGCGAGAAUGGAAUGGUGUUACAAAACUCCUAUACUUCAUAGAAGGGUGUUCCAUUCCUUGGAUGAUUUUUGUGGCCCUCCUCUGGACACAUUCCAACAUAUCUAUGUCUCUCUUGUACUGAGGAUUCCACAUCUGGACGCAGUACUGCAGGUCAACAUGACAGUGACAAAGGAGCAAAGAGGCUGUACUGCAGCUACAUCUUGUGACAAUUUUACAUGGAGGAACUGAAGUCAGUCUGAUUGCUGACAGUGCAGUCAGAUCCCAGAGUAAUAGAAACUCAUUCUGUAUUCUAGUAUACCCAGCAGAUGCAGAUUCACCUUUGGAACCAAGGUGGGAAGGGCCCUAUCAAGCACUUUUGACCACUCAUACAGCAGCUAAGGUGGAAGGACUGAUCCCGUGAAUAUAACAUAUCCGCCUGAAGAAGAUCGCCCAACCACGGUGGACUGUUGAAGAGAAGGAACCUCUUAAGCUUAAACUUAAGAAGACAACAUGAAGAUAUUAUUUCUUGUAAAUAGUGUUUGUAUAGAACUUAUUUUGGCUUGGUGGAAUAAUGCUUUUAUACAAAUGACAGGAAAUCUCACUUGGGUCCUGAAUAUUUCAAAUUGUUGGGUGUGUACAGCCUUCCAAGAGAUGGAGGGAUGGAACUUGAACUCUCUCAAUAUGGGAUUCCAUCUGCCAAUUGGACACUAUGGAAUGGGGCAGGAGGUAGACAUAGUGUCUAAGUGAAAAUAUGAGCAUAGAAAUAAAGGGACCUAAAUUCAAUUUACAACUUUGGGCAGAUAGUAAUAUUUCAUUACUUAGGAGAAAUGGUACAGGUAGGCAAACAGAUACAGGGGAAUUUAAUUUAUCUCCUCAUGAUGGAGUACAGUUUUGUAAUCUUGAGGGUCCAAGGAAGGGUGGAAUAAAUGACGCUUUAAUAUUGUGUUCUGUAAAGGAGAGUGCCCCUUGGGCCCAGGGUUGUAGUGGCUCUGUAGUGAUGGACAGGCAAGGAAGACCCUACCAAAGAACUGGAAAGGACAUUGUGUAGGGGGAUAUUUAGUGCCUCAGAAUUCCUUUUUCAAUGGGACAGUUCUUCCUUCCAGGUUACUGAGAACUCAUUGGAAGAGGGUGAAACAUGUAAGUAAUUGCCUUAUAGAAAAACUGACCGGCUUCCAUAGCUUUGCUAGAUGAUUUAUCCCGUUCCUGGGAGGAAGUGAAUUAGAAAAAACAAUAGUUAAUAUUUCAGCUACUUUGGAGAUAAUAGAAAAUGCAACAGUGGACACAAUAAGAGCAUUAUAAAUAGAAGUUUCAACAUUAAGUAAAGUAGUGCUGCAGAAUAGGAUUGCGCUAGAUCUAUGAACAGAAAAGAGGGGAGAGUUUGUGUAGUUACUACUAGCUGUUGUGCGUACAUAGCUGAAACUCAAGGGAUAGAAACCAAUCUGUAAACUAUAGGGGAACGCCCUGAGUAUGCACAGCGCUGAUUGAAAACAUACCUGCUUUUAUAACUACUUUGUGGUUAUAGAGUCUGAUUCUGCAAGUCAUAUCCCAAAGGACUGUUCUGUUUCCAUUUUCCAUUCAGAGGGAAAGAUGAAACUGUUCACAGGUCAUGAGACAUCCCCCUUCUUUUUCACUUUCUGCUCAUCUCUGCAGUGUGUGGUCCCUAGCCAUCUCACCUUCAGCAUUAGAGUAAGGUCUUUGGUUUUUGGACACUCUCUCUCUCAUUUUAUUUGAUUUAUUAGCUUCAAUUCCAAUUGUAUUAUAUUGUUUUAUCUUGUGUUCCACUAUCAUAUUUAGUAAAUUAGUUUUCCUCCUCA
Molecule: non-coding RNA, 3573 nt
Organism: Meleagris gallopavo (turkey)
Lineage: Eukaryota; Metazoa; Chordata; Aves; Galliformes; Phasianidae
Source: RefSeq, a predicted model, not a curated record